Molecule: ribosomal RNA, 630 nt
Filed under: Triticum aestivum (bread wheat)
Lineage: Eukaryota; Viridiplantae; Streptophyta; Magnoliopsida; Poales; Poaceae
Description: partial small subunit ribosomal RNA
Source: RNAcentral
AUGAUGCACCGCCGCCCACCAUCUUUCCCCACCGACUGCCUGCUUUGCCACCGCCCCACCUUCUCCCCCGGAUGCAACAUCUUCCCCACCGAUGUAGCACAUCUGAAACGAAUGAGCACAGCACCUCCUCUCCCGGAUUCUGUCGCAUCCCGUGGUCACCGCCCUCGUCUACCUCGGCGCCGCGCUUCCCCACCGAUGACCUCAAUGCCCAUCUCGCCCACCGGCGCCGCCCCCACCAACCUUCUCUCUCUCUUCCCUUGGCCGGUGCACGCUUGUGGAGCAAGAUUCGCGACGCGCCACAUCCGCUCCAUCGUCGGCGGUGACUGCUCGUCAAUGGUCGUGGUCCGGAAGCCCAGCUUCGCCUGGGCGCGACGGAUCUGCGCAAGGGCCGCGCUGGGUGAGGAGCCCCCAUGCUCGGCCGCCACUUGGUUCACUCCUCUUCUUUCGACCGCCGGGAGAGGAGCUCGUGGUGGUGAUGCUACCGGAUCCGCAAUGGAGGUUCUUGAGGUCGCGCGCAGCAACAGGAGGCCGAAAUGUUUUGUUGUGGAGACCACGGAUGGGACUAUCGCAGUUGCUUCUGCGUUUCGUGGGCAUCUAGAAGGGAUCACAAGUUCUUGUCAAAAGCGGUAG